RNAcentral lists this ribosomal RNA (440 nucleotides) under uncultured bacterium. RNAcentral's name for it is "bacterial SSU rRNA". It matches the Rfam family "Bacterial small subunit ribosomal RNA", at positions 338 to 770 of the family's 1533-position model. The record is from RNAcentral.
CCUACGGGGGGCUGCAGUGGGGAAUAUUGCACAAUGGGCGCAAGCCUGAUGCAGCCAUGCCGCGUGUAUGAAGAAGGCCUUCGGGUUGUAAAGUACUUUCAGCGGGGAGGAAGGGAGUAAAGUUAAUACCUUUGCUCAUUGACGUUACCCGCAGAAGAAGCACCGGCUAACUCCGUGCCAGCAGCCGCGGUAAUACGGAGGGUGCAAGCGUUAAUCGGAAUUACUGGGCGUAAAGCGCGCGUAGGUGGCCAAUUAAGUCAAAUGUGAAAUCCCCGAGCUUAACUUGGGAAUUGCAUUCGAUACUGGUUGGCUAGAGUAUGGGAGAGGAUGGUAGAAUUCCAGGUGUAGCGGUGAAAUGCGUAGAGAUCUGGAGGAAUACCGAUGGCGAAGGCAGCCAUCUGGCCUAAUACUGACACUGAGGUGCGAAAGCAUGGGGAGCA